AAGGACUUAAGUUAAAUAAACUAAUAACCUUCAAAGAUAUAAUUAAAAGAAUAAUUUUUUAGGCCUUA
Molecule: transfer RNA, 68 nt
Filed under: Rhinopodisma eminifrontus
Lineage: Eukaryota; Metazoa; Arthropoda; Insecta; Orthoptera; Acrididae
Description: tRNA-Trp
Source: RNAcentral